Molecule: long non-coding RNA, 821 nt
Organism: Hydra vulgaris (swiftwater hydra)
Lineage: Eukaryota; Metazoa; Cnidaria; Hydrozoa; Anthoathecata; Hydridae
Source: RefSeq, a predicted model, not a curated record
AUUUCAGUAAGUUGUGAUUUAAAAAUAAUUUAUUAUGUAACUUUUAAUUAGUUAAUUAGGAUUUUAAAAAAAACAUAAGAAAAUUUAGUCUCAUGGUGGCAUGUAUGCUUGUGCUUGGUGUGAAGGAGAAUGUGAAUUUUUUGGUGGGUUGACAAGAACAUUUUUAUCAUUGGAUCUAUGGCAUCGGAGAUACAUGGAAGCUGGUUAUCGAAGUUCUGAAAUGAAAGAUUAUAAGAAUGUGGUGAAUGUAUGCCUAAUAAAGGAGAGAAACAAGUCAAAACUAGUUCUUGAAGUCAUUCCUUUGCCGGAGCUUCAUAUGUUAAUGGGAUUUGUAAAUCAUAUAUCAACUUAUAUAAUUGUUUAUUGGCCUGAAUACAAAGACUGGGUCGACUCACUUGGAUGUAUUAGAAGAGGAUACCAUGGGGGAACAUAUGAAGGCAAUACAUGUAGGAUUGUUCUUAAAAACUGUAACCAAGGCUUUCACUAAGGCUACCAAUUGAACUCUUACCACUUCUAUGUCCAAUGAGAAAAUUUGAGAAAUUAGUUCAAGGAACCUUCGGAAGUUAUCUUAACCCUUGUUAUCUUCAAUUAAUAACUGACGUUGGUUGUUCCUACAAAGCCACACAGGAGUAUUGUUCAGAGUUUCUAGGAAAGAAACUUACUGUGACCUGGAAAAUACAUAUAAUCUCAGCUCACUUGCAACAAUUUAUUGAACUUACUGGUCAUUCUCUUGGACGAUACAAUGAACAGGCAUCUGAAUCGGCUCAUUCAAAAAUGAAGCCAAUAAUUGAACGAUUCAAUGUUUCACAAACAAGCUCAAA